Long non-coding RNA from Megalops cyprinoides (Indo-Pacific tarpon), 268 nucleotides. RefSeq lists it as uncharacterized. The record is from RefSeq and is a predicted model, not a curated record. Lineage: Eukaryota; Metazoa; Chordata; Actinopteri; Elopiformes; Megalopidae. The transcript has 4 exons.
CCUCCAACUUUCCUCUCUGUGCUCCUGCCCAAACCUAGCCCUGGCUCGAUAUCGCUGACGAGAUGGCCUGAGUGUUCCAGCAAGGACUUUGGAGAAUGCGAGAGCAGCUGAGGUUGGCCUCAACAGCACACUUCAAAACAGAUACACAGGUGUCAUUUCGUCCAGUUCAGAAGCACCAUUCUACAGCAGAGUAACACACAGAGGAAACAACUAUGCACUACCUCCGAUGAUGGUGAGGGACUCUACCACGUCAUGACGUCACGUCAGG